AGGUUUCGUCGUCCAGAAAGAAAAGAAAAAGGGACUCAAAAGACGAUCAAUUAUCCAAGAAAAUAAAAGCUAUAGAAGCUGCUGUUGCGGCCGAAAAGCAGCAAAGAGAAGCUGCUGUUGCGGCAGAAAAGCAGC
Molecule: small RNA, 135 nt
Filed under: uncultured Dinobryon
Lineage: Eukaryota; Chrysophyceae; Chromulinales
Description: partial Betaproteobacteria transfer-messenger RNA
Source: RNAcentral